GACGAACGCUGGCGGCGUGCCUAAUACAUGCAAGUUGAGCGCUGAAGGUUGGUACUUGUACCGACUGGAUGAGCAGCGAACGGGUGAGUAACGCGUGGGGAAUCUGCCUUUGAGCGGGGGACAACAUUUGGAAACGAAUGCUAAUACCGCAUAAAAACUUUAAACACAAGUUUUAAGUUUGAAAGAUGCCAUUGCAUCACUCAAAGAUGAUCCCGCGUUGUAUUAGCUAGUUGGUGAGGUAAAGGCUCACCAAGGCGAUGAUACAUAGCCGACCUGAGAGGGUGAUCGGCCACAUUGGGACUGAGACACGGCCCAAACUCCUACGGGAGGCAGCAGUAGGGAAUCUUCGGCAAUGGACGAAAGUCUGACCGAGCAACGCCGCGUGAGUGAAGAAGGUUUUCGGAUCGUAAAACUCUGUUGGUAGAGAAGAACGUUGGUGAGAGUGGAAAGCUCAUCAAGUGACGGUAACUACCCAGAAAGGGACGGCUAACUACGUG
This 497-nucleotide ribosomal RNA is filed under the name uncultured bacterium. RNAcentral's name for it is "partial 16S ribosomal RNA". It matches the Rfam family "Bacterial small subunit ribosomal RNA", at positions 28 to 507 of the family's 1533-position model. The record is from RNAcentral.